ACGAACGCUGGCGGCGUGCUUAACACAUGCAAGUCGAGCGGUAAGGCCCUUUCGGGGGUACGACGAGCGGCGAACGGGUGAGUAACACGUGGGUGACCUGCCCUCAGCUCUGGGAUAAGCCUGGGAAACCGGGUCUAAUACUGGAUAUGACUCCAUGACGCAUGUUGUGGGGUGGAAAGCCUUGUGCGGCUGAGGAUGGGCCCGCGGCCUAUCAGCUUGUUGGUGGGGUGAGGCCUACCAAGGCGACGACGGGUAGCCGGCCUGAGAGGGCGACCGGCCACACUGGGACUGAGACACGGCCCAGACUCCUACGGGAGGCAGCAGUGGGGAAUCUUGCGCAAUGGGCGAAAGCCUGACGCAGCGACGCCGCGUGAGGGAUGACGGCCU
This 387-nucleotide ribosomal RNA is filed under the name uncultured bacterium. RNAcentral's name for it is "bacterial SSU rRNA". It matches the Rfam family "Bacterial small subunit ribosomal RNA", at positions 29 to 417 of the family's 1533-position model. The record is from RNAcentral.